Centruroides sculpturatus (bark scorpion) is the source of this 484-nucleotide long non-coding RNA. RefSeq lists it as uncharacterized. NCBI's taxonomy places the organism in Eukaryota, Metazoa, Arthropoda, Arachnida, Scorpiones, Buthidae. The record is from RefSeq and is a predicted model, not a curated record. The transcript is spliced from 4 exons.
UGGAACUGUCCUACUCAAUUUACAUAAUUAUUUACAAAUUUCUUAAAAAUGUAAAAAACAGAUCGACCGAAUUUGAAUACAAUGGAAAAAAUUUGGGGCAGAGUGCAAAAUGCAGGAUAGUUUAGAUACGCUAAAUACUUUUUCAUAAAUAUUCUAUGCCAAAACUGAUGUGUUUCUUAUAUGCCAUAAAAUACAGUAGUAAUUAUUUUCUAUAUACAUUUUAAUUUUAAAGAAAAUUUUAUUUUACAGGUAUUUUGCCAACAAUGAACAGCUAAUCCAAAGACUGUCCGAGUCCUAUCCGAUUCGAAGAGCCGCACAGAUUACAAUAUUUAUGUUUGCUAGAAGUAAAGAACUGUUUGAAAUAUUCAAUUCUCGAAAUUUUAGGGACAUUUCUAAUUUAAAGCAGACUGCGCAAAGGUUAAGAGAUUUUCCAAAGAGAUUAAAACAUGAAUUAAAGGAAGGAUUUCGACAGGCAAAUGAAGAA